UACGUAGGGGCAAGCGUUGUCCGGAUUCAUUGGGCGUAAAGAGCGUGUAGGCGGCCAGGUAGGUCGGUUGUGAAACUGGAGGCUCAACCUUCAGAGGUCGACCGAAACCAUCUGGCUAGAGUCCGGGAGAGGAGAGUGGAAUUCCUGGUGUAGCGGUGAAUGCGCAGAUAUCAGGAAGAACACCCGUGGCGAAAGCGGCUCUCUGGAACGGUACUGACGCUGAAGACGCGAAAGCGUGGGAGCAAACAG
RNAcentral lists this ribosomal RNA (249 nucleotides) under uncultured bacterium. RNAcentral's name for it is "partial 16S ribosomal RNA". It matches the Rfam family "Bacterial small subunit ribosomal RNA", at positions 524 to 775 of the family's 1533-position model. The record is from RNAcentral.